Molecule: long non-coding RNA, 690 nt
Organism: Neopelma chrysocephalum (saffron-crested tyrant-manakin)
Lineage: Eukaryota; Metazoa; Chordata; Aves; Passeriformes; Pipridae
Exons: 3
Source: RefSeq, a predicted model, not a curated record
ACAGCAAAAAGAAAAAUAAGCCUAUAGGUUCAGAUUUAUCACUGCCUCAAGUUCAUCAACAUCAAUUAAGCUAUUAAACUGUGGCUGAAUUUGGCUCACAGUAAUUUAAAAAUUUCAACUUUCUUUGAGCGUCUUCCAUCAGCAACAUGCUAAUUUAAUGCAUAAUUUUAACUCCGCUGCCCUUAAUUCAGUGUUUGUAAAUAAUUAAAAAAGAACUAAAAAUCCUUUUGCAUUUAUAUAGUGGGCCCCCUCCCCCUUUUUCUACUGCAAAACAAAGAUGACUUUUCAAUCAAGUAUUUAUUUAUUCUUUAUAUCUGAAAGUAAAAGCCGUAGAAAAAACUAGGAGAAACUGAUUUACAAGAUAAAACAAUUAGCUCUGGGAUAUGUACAUUAAGACUAACAAAUUUCACAUCAUAUUUUAAGGAAUGGAGGAGGAAUCCCAGACAUAUUAGACUUUAUUCAAAUUCUACUGAAAUGUUCAAUUAAGAGCAUCUUAUGAAGACAGAUGAAAAUGCCUUUUAAAACUCAAACAAGACUGUGCAAAAACAGCUCAAACCUAUCCAUCUCCCAGUUGGUUCUUAAAAAAAGGUCAUGGUCCAUCAGAAGCUGCUAUUUCUGCUGGGAUGGGUGCAAGUCAGACAGUGCCCUCGUAACCCCCCAGGAAGAACUGCCAGGGAGGCCAGCUCAGGG